UUUGGGAGAAGCUUAGAUAUUCUUGGAACCCUGCUCAAUGUGCAGCCAUUUUUGGCAUGGAUGCCUAAAAAGCGGCAACCGAGCCAUGGAUGGCGACUUUGCCGCGGUGGCGGAAACGCAAUGAGAGUAUAUCAGGGUUCCUAGAAUAACUUAGCUUCGUACAAC
Regulatory RNA element from Firmicutes bacterium CAG:882, 165 nucleotides. The record is from Rfam. NCBI's taxonomy places the organism in Bacteria, Bacillati, Bacillota.